RNAcentral lists this ribosomal RNA (1347 nucleotides) under Triticum aestivum (bread wheat). RNAcentral's name for it is "partial small subunit ribosomal RNA". Lineage: Eukaryota; Viridiplantae; Streptophyta; Magnoliopsida; Poales; Poaceae. The record is from RNAcentral.
AUGGGAGCAGCCUUGUCCAUCUCCACCGUCGACGCACUAGCCAGGGCGAUCAAGAACAAAGUGCGUCGGAGGUGGUUAACUGCGCCCCAUCAUGGCACCGCCGAUUGGUCUGGCCUGCCGGAGGACCUCCUCCUGACCGUCAUGGCAGAGCUGGAUGUCCCCAGCAUUAUCCGAUCCGGCGCCGUCUGCACGUCCUGGCACCACGCCUAUGAGACCUUCCGCCGCCUCCAGCUUCCCUCGCCAAAGCAGGCCCCUUGCCUGUUCUAUGCAUGCGACGAGUACGGGCCCAACAAUACCGCCCUGUAUUGUCCCUCCACAAACGCCACGUUCCGUGUCCCCUUUCAAAGGCCCCUCGAGGAGAGCCGGGGAUUCGUCUCCUCUUGUCACGGCUGGGUGUUCUCCACCGAUGAGUCCGGGGACCCGUACCUUCUCAACCCUAUUACCGGCUCCCGGGCCGCGCUCCCACCGUUCGUGACAAUCUACCACGGGGAGAGCCGCUAUGACCACGACCAUAAGUGUGCUCUGAAGGCUCGACUGGAGAACAGAUCCCACAACCCGAUGGUCACCUGGGCAUGGCAUUCGGGGUAUAUCCGGGUUGCCAUCUCCGCUGCCACCGAGAUAGACGCAUGCACUGUGGUAAUCGUGCAUACCCCAGACGAGUGGAGGCUCUCCUUUGCUAGGCCCGGUGACAAGCAGUGGACAUUGCUCCCUAGCGACCAAGGCUUUAUAGAUGUUCUUUACAAUGAUAAGGACGGCUUGUUCUACGCUCUAGGUUGUGAUUGUUCUAUUUACACGAUAGAUCUCAAUGGCCCUUUGCCGAUGGUGACGAUGAUCAUGUGUGGCGUGUCAUCCUGGGGCAACCCUACCCAGUAUCUCGCAUUCUCCCCAUCAGGUGAACUUCAGCAAGUCUGGAGGAUCUGGAAUUGCGCACAUGUUCCAAUCAAAAAUAUGGUCGAUGAUGGCAGUGUAGAUUUCGCGAACGAAUAUGACGACGGCAAGUUCAGUGAGCUGUUUGAAGAUGAUUAUAAGUUCACUACGGCGAAGCUCUUCAUUUUCAAGGUUGACAUUGGCAGGCAGAAGCUGGUGGAGCUACGGGAUAUUGGAGACCACGCGCUAUUCCUCGGGUACAACAAUGUCGUGUAUGUUUCCACUAAGGACUUUCCGGCGUUCAAACCAAACCACGCUUACCUCACGGAUGACCGUUUUGAAUGUAAGCCAAGAUUGAAAGAGGACCUGGGUAUUUGGAACGUCAAGGAGAGGAAUAUGCAGAAACUUGAGGAUGCAUGGCCAUGCAUGUAUUCUUGGCUAGAUUUACCAGCUCCGAUUUGGAUCACGCCAAGGUUUUAG